Molecule: long non-coding RNA, 298 nt
Filed under: Helianthus annuus (common sunflower)
Lineage: Eukaryota; Viridiplantae; Streptophyta; Magnoliopsida; Asterales; Asteraceae
Description: hypothetical non coding rna
Source: RNAcentral
UAUAAGAGUCGCUUCUGCUAGCCUGAAGAAUAAAGGUGCAGAAAACAAGUGAAACGACGGUGGAGAUACAGGCGUAAAUAAACCGUCGGAUCAUGAGGGUUUUGAAAGAUGAAAGGGGGCGGUAGAUGAAGGAUUAGUGUGGGAGAGUAGAGGAUUGCGACGUACAAGAUAGUCAUUGUUGACGGAACACCACCGGAGCCGGAGUAUGACUCCAUUGUUGACGGAAUUGGCGAGUUUGUCCAAGAUUGGGGGUUUUGAGACGACCACAUGGUUUAGCCAAAUAAUGUCCCCAUCAUGA